ACUGGCUCAGAUUGAACGCUGGCGGCAGGCCUAACACAUGCAAGUCGAACGGUAGCAGGAAGAAGCUUGCUCUUGCUGACGAGUGGCGGACGGGUGAGUAAUGUCUGGGAAACUGCCUGAUGGAGGGGGAUAACUACUGGAAACGGUAGCUAAUACCGCAUAACGUCGCAAGACCAAAGAGGGGGACCUUCGGGCCUCUUGCCAUCGGAUGUGCCCAGAUGGGAUUAGCUAGUAGGUGGGGUAACGGCUCACCUAGGCGACGAUCCCUAGCUGGUCUGAGAGGAUGACCAGCCACACUGGAACUGAGACACGGUCCAGACUCCUACGGGAGGCAGCAGUGGGGAAUAUUGCACAAUGGGCGCAAGCCUGAUGCAGCCAUGCCGCGUGUAUGAAGAAGGCCUUCGGGUUGUAAAGUACUUUCAGCGGGGAGGAAGGGAGUAAAGUUAAUACCUUUGCUCAUUGACGUUACCCGCAGAAGAAGCACCGGCUAACUCCGUGCCAGCCGCAGC
This 509-nucleotide ribosomal RNA is filed under the name uncultured bacterium. RNAcentral's name for it is "bacterial SSU rRNA". It matches the Rfam family "Bacterial small subunit ribosomal RNA", at positions 18 to 518 of the family's 1533-position model. The record is from RNAcentral.